AGGAGGGUGUAUAUAUUUGUGAAGGAGAUUCUGCUGAAUUUAAUGCAUUGGAUUGGUGGAAGUCAAUGAACUUGAAGUUUAGAGUAUUAUCCAAAAUGGCAUGUGAAAUCUUAUCAAUUCCAAUCACAACGGUUGCUUCAGAGUCAACAUUUAGUGCUGGUGGUAGGGUUAUUGAUACAUAUCGGGCAUCUUUAGGGACCGAUACUGUCCAAAUGCUACUUUGUGGAAGUGAUUGGUUGCGUAAAUAAUAUGAUAUGAAAAGAAAGCCAAAAUGCCCGAAGAUGGGAAG
Molecule: long non-coding RNA, 289 nt
Organism: Ipomoea nil (Japanese morning glory)
Lineage: Eukaryota; Viridiplantae; Streptophyta; Magnoliopsida; Solanales; Convolvulaceae
Exons: 3
Source: RefSeq, a predicted model, not a curated record